Molecule: ribosomal RNA, 440 nt
Filed under: uncultured bacterium
Lineage: Bacteria
Description: partial 16S ribosomal RNA
Rfam family: Bacterial small subunit ribosomal RNA
Source: RNAcentral
CCUACGGGGGGCAGCAGUGGGGAAUAUUGCACAAUGGGGGAAACCCUGAUGCAGCGACGCCGCGUGAGCGAUGAAGUAUUUCGGUAUGUAAAGCUCUAUCAGCAGGGAAGAAAAUGACGGUACCUGACUACGAAGCCCCGGCUAACUACGUGCCAGCAUCCGCGGUAAUACGUGGGGGGCAAGCGUUAUCCGGAUUUACUGGGUGUAAAGGGAGCGUAGACGGCGGUGCAAGCGAGAUGUGAAAGCCCGGGGCUCAACCCCGGGACUGCAGUUGGAACUGGGCUGCUAGAGUGUCGGAGAGGCAGGCGGAAUGCGUAGUGUAGCGGUGAAAUGCGUAGAUAUUAGGAGGAACACCAGUGGCGAAGGCGGCCUGCUGGACGAUGACUGACGUUGAGGCUCGAAAGCGUGGGGAGCAAACAGGAUUAGAUACCCUUGUAGUC